ACUUUUUCUUAAAUUCAAACCCUAGCCUAAGCUAAGGCUUCAGUUGAGCUGUUUUGGAAGAAUAUCAAGGCAAAAUUCUCUUUAUGAGCUCCAGUAGACACCAAAAGAUUGGAUAAUCUGCAGGAGGAGCCUCCAAUGCUUCCAAUUCGGUAACUCCAUUCUCCACUAUGAAAGCCGUGGCCAAGCCCCAUGUAAUGUGGACAUCCAAGUGACAGUGCAUUAUCCAAACUCCUGUUUUAUGCAAAAUUAUUAGUUUUAAAUAUCAACCUAUUAGUUGAAAAGGGAAAGAAAAGGAAUUGGCAAAAUUGUUAAUCUCACCUGGAUUAUCUGCAACAAAACGGAUGACUGUCCAUCCAUUGACUGGUACGCUUGCUGUGUUUCUAAGAGGUGGGUUCACUAGGUUAAACUUUGCUGUAUCUUGUUGUGGAUUGAAGUUUCCAAAACCCUCGGCAAGGAUAUAGAAAUCAUAUCCAUGAAGAUGGAUUGGGUGGUUUUCAGCUGUGAAGAUAUUUGUUCCCUGCAGCACUAUCUGCACUCUUGCCCCGUAUUUCAACCUGUACACCUUUGUUCCAGAAGCAGGUUGCCAAAGUGAUCGGCUAACAUUACCAGUAUAAUCAAACUUAACUGGUGGAGCGGCUGGAAAGUCAGUUGUAAAAACUCCUGGGAUUCCUUGGUGAUGUGCCUGAAGUAGUGAAAAGUUGGAUGGGAGCACAAAUGACACAUUGUUCAUGCUGGCAGUGAACCGAGUUCCAUUUGGUCCCUGACAAUUUUGGGAACUUGCUCCCUUGGGGCAGUUAUUGAGUCCUAGACCAACGGUGAUAAAGAGGUUUUCGUCAAUUUCAGUAGGCACCUCAACAUUUCUUAGACUUCUGAAACUCGUUGUGAAGGCUGUGGCGGUUGCUGUAUCAUUGUAUGCUGGUAGAGAUGGGAGAACCGGAGUUGUCUGACCUCCCUUGGAGGAGGAAGAAGCAGCCUUGUACUGUAGGAUGGCUGUGGUUGUAGUGUUAUCAAACGGUGCACCUUGUGCACUGGCAUAUGCUCGUGCUGCCAUGUAGUAACGGGCCGGUGGCUGAUUGGCGGUGAUUAGGACAUCAGUAGUCUGGCCUGGUCCUAGCAUGAUGACUGAAGUAGUAAAGGGCUUCACAUAAGAGGCAUCAGCUCCAACUACUGUGAGUUUGUGGUUGGCAACCGAGAAGAAAAGCUGUUGAUUGAGUGCAGCGUUGAUAACUCUAAGGAGGUUGGUCUCGCCUGAGUCCACUUGGACUACUACAGUUUCUGUAUCAAAACAUACUAAAGCAAUCAAUCUUUGAAGAAUGAAAAUUCCUGCUUGGCCAAUGCUAGAAUAGCUCAGAGGUAUAUAUAAGUGGUCUAAAAUCCUCUUAAAAGUUGUUCCACUCUGGCAUCUAGCAUCGGUAUGCAUACUACCUUGGCUGCAAAUUUGCUAGUUGUUAUUAUCAGUUGAUUUUUAAUUGGUGGACAAUUUCAGAUUAGUUAAAUAGAUAUUGGAUGUUAAGAGUUUUUGCCGGUUUAUUGGAAUCAUUACUGUUUAUGACACAAUACAGGGCUAUCAUGUGUUAUUUUUAAUUCUCAUGGAAAGUUGUUUAAGGCAGAGAACCAGAGAGGUACUCAUAAUUCUUACCUUUGCUGGAGCACUUGAACAGGUCACCAGGUUGUCCAUUGAUAGUGAAUGCAUCUGAUACAUUUGGAGCGGCUCCAGUUCUCUGAGCUUGCCUUAUAACAUCAAUGGGGUUUGCAUUCCACCACUCACCUGAUCAUCAUUAUUGUCAAACUUUCAGUGAUUAUUUCAGAAACUUUGUUUGAAGGCAAACUAUAUCCAAAAAUUGCAGCAAAGAAUGCUCAAAUAACUGUUUAUCAGUCUUGUCUUACGUUGAAAUCUUUGGUUAAGAAAGAAAAUUACCGAGUACAACAGGUGUUUCUCUUGUAGGCUUAGGGAAUGGGUAGGACUCCCCUUCUCUUGGACGGAUGAUAAGAGCUCCGUAAACGGUGGCCCUGAGCCAUGAGCUGUGGGCAUGCCACCAAAGCGUCCCUUCCUGACCGUUGAUUGUAAAUCUGUAAGUAUAGCUCCCUCCUGGCCUAAUUGGGCACUGCGUAAUAAACUCUGGUCCAUCUGCCCAUGCUGUUCUAAUCUGCCGGACACCGUGCCUGUUUUUGUGCAUAACGAGGACAGAUAAGAAGUCAAUAAACUCAUUUUCUUUAUUUGCGAAUAUAUUUACUAAUACACUGCAUGCAUGCUUUGUUUCACAAACCUACCAGUGAAUGGUGACAUUGUAUUGUGCUUUAUUGAUAACCUUGAUCUCUAACGUAUCACCAUUGUUCACUUCCAAGGUUGGUCCAGGGAACUGCCCGUUCACUGUUAUCAUGUUAUGGGUACUGCACAGCCUCGUCACUGGUGUUGCUUGAAUCUGUCACACAACAACAAACUCACAUCAGUAUCCUCCAGUUCCCGAGAGCCUAAAACAACCAAAGAAAAAUCAAGAAAUGGAAUAUGAAGCAUGAUAAAAUUCGGUGCCAUACAACAAACUGGUGCUGCUGAACUUUAGCAUUUGCCAAAGAAAGCGUGUUUGCGAAGAGCACCAGAAGGCCAAAGAGCAAGAAAGAGCGAAACGGUUUAUCAAUGCUGCUGCUGCCGAGAGCUGCCAUGUUUGACUUCAGGGCUUAUCAGAUCAGGUAACAGCAGAUGCUUUAUGCUUUUUUUUACUUGUGAAGAGAAUAGAAUUGAGGGCAUUCUUUUAUAGUGGGGGAAAUGGGAGUGUUUAACUUGAGGGUUGGCAGAUUAGGUUCUGACUCAGCAUGAAGGUCAGCUUCAAUGGCUGAUUUAGUUCACCCACUGCCCUAUCAAACUGCCAAAAUUCUCUUAAUGCUUGCUUCCUAAGACUUUUUCAUGGGCAUGUAUUUCUAUGCAUAAUCAUUAUUUUACCCAGAUUUUACUUCACAUUUCUGAUACUAUGUCUUUAUUUUUUUCU
Ipomoea triloba (trilobed morning glory) is the source of this 2984-nucleotide long non-coding RNA. RefSeq lists it as uncharacterized. NCBI's taxonomy places the organism in Eukaryota, Viridiplantae, Streptophyta, Magnoliopsida, Solanales, Convolvulaceae. The transcript has 2 exons. The record is from RefSeq and is a predicted model, not a curated record.